AUCCAGCUGACGAGUACCAACUAGAACGGAACGCACGUUUUGGAU
Molecule: non-coding RNA, 45 nt
Filed under: Schistosoma mansoni
Lineage: Eukaryota; Metazoa; Platyhelminthes; Trematoda; Strigeidida; Schistosomatidae
Source: RNAcentral